CAGGUAGUAACCAGGGUUCGAUCAUGGCUCAGGGUGAACGCUGGCGGGAUGUACUACGCUUCCGUCAGACGGCGCUGGACUUCGGUCUGGUGGCGAGUGGCGAACGGGUGAGUAAUGUAUCGGAACGUGCCUAGUAGCGGGGGAUAACUUUACGCGAAAGCGUAGCUAAUACCACAUACGCCCUUCGGGGAAAGCGGGGGACCUUCGGGCCUCGCACUAUUAAAACGGCGAAUAUCGGAUUAGCUAGUUGGUGGGGUAACGGCUCACCAAGGCGACGAUCCGUAGCUGGUUUUGAGAGGACGACCAACCACACUGGGACGAGACACGGCCCAGACUCCUACGGGAGGCAGCGGUGGGGAAUUUUGGACAAUAGGGAAACCCUGAUCCAGCCAUCCCGCGUGUGCGAUGAAGGCCUUCGGGUUGUAAAGCACUUUUGGCAGGAAAGAAACGGCACGGGAUAAUACCCCGUGCAACUGACGGUACCUGCAGAAUAAGCACCGGCUAACUACGUGCCAGCAGCCGCGGUAAUACGUAAAGUGCAAGCGUUAAUCGAGAUUACUGGAGCGUAAAGCGUGCGCAGGCGGUUCGGAAAGAAAGAUGUAUGAAAUCCCAGAGCUUAACUUUGGAGCCAUUUUUACUUACCGAGGCAAGAACAUUAUCGAGGAGGCGAUUGCAAUAUCACAUGAUGAAAUUCCGGCGAUGUACGGAGGAACACCGAUGGCGAGCAGCCUCCUGGGAUAACACUGACGCUCAUGCACGAAAGCGUGGGGAGCAAACAGGAUUAGAUACCCUGGUAGUCCACGCCCUAAACGAUGUCAAUAGCUGUUGGGGCCUUCGGGCCUUGGUAGCGCAGCUAACGCGUGAAGUUGACCGCCUGGGAGUACGGUCGCAAGAUUAAAACUCAAAGGAAUUGACGGGGACCCGCACAAGCGGUGGAUGAUGUGGAUUAAUUCGAUGCAACGCGAAAAACCUUACCUACCCUUGACAUAUCUGGAAUCCCGAAGAGAUUGGUGCUCGCAAGAGAACCGGAACACAGGUGCUGCAUGGCUGUCGUCAGCUCGUGUCGUGAGAUGUUGGGUUAAGUCCGCAACGAGCGCAACCCUUGUCAUUAGUUGCUACGAAAGGGCACUCUAAUGAGACUGCCGGUGACAAACCGGAGGGAAGGUGGGGAUGACGUCAAGUCCUCAUGGCCCUUAUGGGUAGGGCUUCACACGUCAUACAAUGAAUUGGGACAGAGGGUCGCCAACCCGCGAGGGGAGCCAAUCCCAGAAACCCGAUCGUAGUCCGGAUCGCAGUCUACUAACUCGACUACGUGAAGUCGGAAUCGCUAGUAAUCGCGGAUCAGCAUGUCGCGGUGAAUACGUUCCGGGUCUUGUACACACCGCCCGUCACACCAUGGGAGUGGGUUUUACCAGAAGUAGUUAGCCUAACCGUAAGGAGGGCGAUUACCACGGUAGGAUUCAUGACUGGGGUGAAGUCGUAACAAGGUAG
Molecule: ribosomal RNA, 1491 nt
Filed under: uncultured Bordetella sp.
Lineage: Bacteria; Pseudomonadati; Pseudomonadota; Betaproteobacteria; Burkholderiales; Alcaligenaceae
Description: partial 16S-23S ribosomal RNA intergenic spacer
Rfam family: Bacterial small subunit ribosomal RNA
Source: RNAcentral